GACCGCGUAAUUCAGUUGGCAGAGCAUUGGGCUAGUAUUCCAAAGGUUGUAGGUUCGAUUCCCACCGUGGUCA
Molecule: transfer RNA, 73 nt
Filed under: Paramuricea clavata
Lineage: Eukaryota; Metazoa; Cnidaria; Anthozoa; Malacalcyonacea; Plexauridae
Rfam family: tRNA
About the family: Transfer RNA (tRNA) molecules are approximately 80 nucleotides in length. Their secondary structure includes four short double-helical elements and three loops (D, anti-codon, and T loops). Further hydrogen bonds mediate the characteristic L-shaped molecular structure. tRNAs have two regions of fundamental functional importance: the anti-codon, which is responsible for specific mRNA codon recognition, and the 3' end, to which the tRNAs corresponding amino acid is attached (by aminoacyl-tRNA synthetases). tRNAs cope with the degeneracy of the genetic code in two manners: having more than one tRNA (with a specific anti-codon) for a particular amino acid; and 'wobble' base-pairing, i.e. permitting non-standard base-pairing at the 3rd anti-codon position.
Source: Rfam by way of RNAcentral